RNAcentral lists this ribosomal RNA (254 nucleotides) under uncultured bacterium. RNAcentral describes it as "partial 16S ribosomal RNA". It matches the Rfam family "Bacterial small subunit ribosomal RNA", at positions 524 to 776 of the family's 1533-position model. The record is from RNAcentral.
UACGUAGGGUGCGAGCGUUAAUCGGAAUUACUGGGCGUAAAGCGUGCGUAGGCGGUUGCACAAGCUCGAUGUGAAAGCCCCGGGCUUAACCUGGGAAUGGCAUUGAGGACUGUGCGGCUUGAGUGCGGCAGAGGGAGGUGGAAUUCCACGUGUAGCAGUGAAAUGCGUAGAGAUGUGGAGGAACACCGAUGGCGAAGGCAGCCUCCUGGGCCGACACUGACGCUGAGGGCACGAAAGCGUGGGGAGCAAACAGG